Molecule: ribosomal RNA, 579 nt
Filed under: uncultured microorganism
Description: bacterial SSU rRNA
Rfam family: Bacterial small subunit ribosomal RNA
Source: RNAcentral
UAACGCGUUAAGUAGACCGCCUGGGGAGUACGGUCGCAAGAUUAAAACUCAAAUGAAUUGACGGGGGCCCGCACAAGCGGUGGAGCAUGUGGUUUAAUUCGAUGCAACGCGAAGAACCUUACCUACUCUUGACAUCCAGAGAAGCCAGCGGAGACGCAGGUGUGCCUUCGGGAACUCUGAGACAGGUGCUGCAUGGCUGUCGUCAGCUCGUGUUGUGAAAUGUUGGGUUAAGUCCCGCAACGAGCGCAACCCUUAUCCUUGUUUGCCAGCGAGUAAUGUCGGGAACUCCAGGGAGACUGCCGGUGAUAAACCGGAGGAAGGUGGGGACGACGUCAAGUCAUCAUGGCCCUUACGAGUAGGGCUACACACGUGCUACAAUGGCGCAUACAGAGGGCAGCAAGCUAGCGAUAGUGAGCGAAUCCCAAAAAGUGCGUCGUAGUCCGGAUUGGAGUCUGCAACUCGACUCCAUGAAGUCGGAAUCGCUAGUAAUCGUGAAUCAGAAUGUCACGGUGAAUACGUUCCCGGGCCUUGUACACACCGCCCGUCACACCAUGGGAGUGGGCUGCAAAAGAAGUGGGU